This 68-nucleotide transfer RNA is filed under the name Etmopterus spinax (velvet belly lantern shark). RNAcentral's name for it is "tRNA-Cys". It matches the Rfam family "tRNA". From Rfam's summary of the family: Transfer RNA (tRNA) molecules are approximately 80 nucleotides in length. The record is from RNAcentral. Lineage: Eukaryota; Metazoa; Chordata; Chondrichthyes; Squaliformes; Etmopteridae.
AGCCCCGCAGUAGAUAAAUACGUUGGAUUGCAAAUCCAAAAACCGGAGGUUGACUCCUCCCGGGGCUU